Prosopis cineraria is the source of this 598-nucleotide long non-coding RNA. RefSeq lists it as uncharacterized. The transcript is spliced from 2 exons. The record is from RefSeq and is a predicted model, not a curated record. Lineage: Eukaryota; Viridiplantae; Streptophyta; Magnoliopsida; Fabales; Fabaceae.
UGUAGCCUUUUUCUUUUUAACAGAUACGUGGGAGUGGACCCCCUCGUCAAUGUGUGCCCUCCGGCCUCAACUGUUAAUUUGCACGCUCGCGCUCAGUCCUCUGUAUCAUCCUCAUAAUUGGUAAGGAACAGUCUCAAAAUCGAAUCGAUGCCAGUGCGUUCUUUAACUUGCCAGCUUCAAUGCCUUCUUCACAUGCCACAAAAGCAGACACUUCAUGUGCUGUUCUCAAAAACCCUUCACAUGUUGGCAUGGGAGCUCUGUCCCGUGCGUCAGGCUGAACAUGGGCCGAUUGCAAUUCGGUUUGACAUGAAUCUGAAGCCCAAUGCUGAAAUCCUUUCCGUUUUGAAUCGAAGGCCCGGUCCAACCAGCUGCAAUUCUACACAUGGCGGGUCUGCAAUAUUAGCAUGAGUCAGGCCGAUUCAACCUGGACAGUCUCUUUUCUAUUGGAACAUAAUUUAUUCCAGGUUUUUUUUUCCAACAAUUUUUAUUCCAGUUUGAAACGAGAAAAAAAUCUGAAGCGUUGAAAAGUGACCAGUCUAAGUAUAGCAAUUACAAUAUCUGUAUGCAAUUUGGUUUAUAUAUAUUUACAUUUAAAUUA